RNAcentral lists this ribosomal RNA (258 nucleotides) under uncultured bacterium. RNAcentral describes it as "partial 16S ribosomal RNA". It matches the Rfam family "Bacterial small subunit ribosomal RNA", at positions 96 to 354 of the family's 1533-position model. The record is from RNAcentral.
UGGCGGACGGGUGAGUAACGCGUGGGUAACCUGCCUUACACAGGGGGAUAACACCUGGAAACAGGUGCUAAUACCGCAUAAGCGCACAGGGCCGCAUGGCCCGGUGUGAAAAACUCCGGUGGUGUAAGAUGGACCCGCGUCUGAUUAGCUUGUUGGCGGGGUAGAGGCCCACCAAGGCGACGAUCAGUAGCCGGCCUGAGAGGGUGGACGGCCACAUUGGUACUGAGACACGGACCAGACUCCUACGGGAGGCAGCAG